ACCUGGCUGGCUCAGUCGGAAGAGCAUGAGACUCUUGAUCUUGAGGCGGAGAGUUCAAGCCCCAUGCUGGGUG
Molecule: transfer RNA, 73 nt
Filed under: Mustela putorius furo (domestic ferret)
Lineage: Eukaryota; Metazoa; Chordata; Mammalia; Carnivora; Mustelidae
Rfam family: tRNA
About the family: Transfer RNA (tRNA) molecules are approximately 80 nucleotides in length. Their secondary structure includes four short double-helical elements and three loops (D, anti-codon, and T loops). Further hydrogen bonds mediate the characteristic L-shaped molecular structure. tRNAs have two regions of fundamental functional importance: the anti-codon, which is responsible for specific mRNA codon recognition, and the 3' end, to which the tRNAs corresponding amino acid is attached (by aminoacyl-tRNA synthetases). tRNAs cope with the degeneracy of the genetic code in two manners: having more than one tRNA (with a specific anti-codon) for a particular amino acid; and 'wobble' base-pairing, i.e. permitting non-standard base-pairing at the 3rd anti-codon position.
Source: Rfam by way of RNAcentral